CGCCCUGCAUCCUGUCGUGAGGCACAAGCCGCCCCUCCCUCCGCCUCACUGGCUCCUCUCACCCCCCGCGCUCACCCCUUUCUCUCUCUUUCUCCCUCCGUAGUGCUGGGCCGUGGGGAGGAUGGCGACAGAAAGCGUCCCGAGGUGUCGGCGGGGCUUUGGGGAGCCCCUGAAGGCUGCUCUCUGCUCUGUGUGGGUAGGAGGCCGAGCGCCAUGGGCCUCGAGUGUUGGGGUCUGGAGUCUACCCUUUGAACACCCAUAGGAGAUACUUAGAAAUAUCAUGUUUGAAAUGGUCUAGAUAUGGAUGAUCACACCUAAAUUGGAGGCAGUGCUCAGGACUACUUAGGAAUGGAUAAUACCUUCUGCUAAGAAGAGUUUUCAAGUGUGAUGGUACUGCUUGACUGCCUAGAAUGCACUUCAUGAGCUUGUGUGAUAAACAACUUGAGUCAAGAGUUCCUUCUAAAUUGAUUGGUCUCCAGAGAGAAAGCCAGCAUGUGCAAGGGAUUAGAAUUGAUAUUAAACAUCAGCUUAUGAUUUGUUGAGUGGAUGACUGCUGACUUCACCCAAGAUUACUCCAGUUGUCUUCUGCAAUGUGUUGUCUUGAAAGUGGAAUUGAGAUAAGCAAUGGCUACAGCUACACAUCUUCAAUGACUGUUUAAACAGGAAUCUAGUUAUUGGUUGAAACUGAAGUUUCUUAAAGUUCUGUAACUUAUUUGUGUCUGUGUGGAUUCUUUGAAAUAAAACAAAGAUGCUACCAGAA
Cygnus atratus (black swan) is the source of this 760-nucleotide long non-coding RNA. RefSeq lists it as uncharacterized. Lineage: Eukaryota; Metazoa; Chordata; Aves; Anseriformes; Anatidae. The record is from RefSeq and is a predicted model, not a curated record. The transcript is spliced from 4 exons.